Molecule: long non-coding RNA, 1131 nt
Organism: Tribolium madens (black flour beetle)
Lineage: Eukaryota; Metazoa; Arthropoda; Insecta; Coleoptera; Tenebrionidae
Exons: 3
Source: RefSeq, a predicted model, not a curated record
UUAUAUCUGCUCAUCUUAAGAUUAAAAAAGAUUGAUUAAAAGUUGAUUCAUUCCUUAAAGUCGUGUCUUUAUAAAAGGUUUGUAAUGUGGUAUUCUUUUAUUUGUAUCAUAUUAGGAUUCUUGAUACCUUAUUAUCAUGGACAAGAUGAACCCACAUUUAUGAUCUAUUUGAUCUGUGUGUCAAAAAACCAGAGUUCAAAAAACUGUGCUGGAACAUAUAUUAACGAUGGUUUUAUAUUAACUGCAGCCCAUUGUGUUAAAGAGUAAGUAAGUAAUUUUGCACUGGAACUAAAAGCUUGUAGAAAGUAAACUACUGUAAACUAUAAAAAUGAAACUGUUUUUAAAACUAGUUGCAAAAAUCGUAUAAAUUGAUAACAAUAACCGCUCACUUUUUUAGUGUUGAACAUUAUGGAGUCAUACUUGGAACACAAAAUAUAUUCGACUCGUCACAGCCUGGUGUACAAUUUAAACGAUAUGACAACAGUGACAUAAUUAUCCACGAUCACUAUGAAGAUGGAGAUACACUCUAUCAUAACGAUAUUGCGCUAAUCAAAUUAAAUGAUAACGACAAGAGGAAAAUAGAUGAAACACCUAACAUUGCAAAUAUUUUAAUAUCUGAAUAUCUCAAUGAAGAUCAAACCAAUUUUUACGUUUACUUUUGGCCUGAAAACGAAAAUGAAUUGGAGAAGACACGUACAGAAAGAGAAGAAUGCCAAGAAACGAUAAAAAACGAUUCAUUAAUCUGCACUAUCUUUGUUCAUAACAUUACCCCGGGAGCCUCUGGUGGACCUUUAAUCGUUGACAAUGGUAACACACAGAUAGGUAUUGUGUCUGGAGCUUUGAAUAAUCAAAUGGUAUACACAUAUUUGCCUUAUUAUAAGUCUUGGAUUGAAAACCACACUGAUAAAACAGUCACAUCGGAAGCAACUUUUAACCCAGCGAAAGGAACAGAAAUGAUAACUAUUCCAACUACUACCGAGCCAACAUCAAACUCAAGUAAUAAAAAAGACACACAAGUAUUAGUAGUAUAUGCAUUAGUCUUUAUAGUAAUAAUAAUAAUAAUAUGGGUUCUUUUAUUAUUCAUUCUAUUAUUAUUUAAUAUUAAAAGCUAAUUCUUUUUAAAUGUUUAAA